This 510-nucleotide ribosomal RNA is filed under the name uncultured bacterium. RNAcentral describes it as "partial 16S ribosomal RNA". It matches the Rfam family "Bacterial small subunit ribosomal RNA", at positions 28 to 507 of the family's 1533-position model. The record is from RNAcentral.
GACGAACGCUGGCGGCGUGCUUAACACAUGCAAGUCGAACGAAGAGCGAUGGAAUCUUGCUUCUAUUAAUCUUAGUGGCGAACGGGUGAGUAACGCGUAAUCAACCUUCCCUUUAGAGGGGGACAACAGUUGGAAACGACUGCUAAUACCGCAUACGAUCUAACCUCGGCAUUGAGGAUAGAUGAAAGGUGGCUUCUACAUGUAAGCUAUCACUGAAGGAGGGGAUUGCGUCUGUUUAGCUAGUUGGAGGGGAAACGGCCCACCAAGGCGAUGAUCAGUAGCCGGACUGAGCGGAUGGACUGCCACAUUGAGACUGAGACACGGCCCAGGCUCCUACGGGAGGCAGCAGUGGGGAAUCUUCCGCAAUGGAAGAAAGUCUGACGGAGCGACGCCGCGUGAGUGAUGACGGCCUUCGGGUUGUAAAGCUCUGUUAUUCGGGACGAAAGGCCUUCUUGCGAAUAGUUAGAAGGAUUGACGGUACCGGAAUAGAAAGCCACGGCUAACUACGUG